AUCUAUUUCAAAGGACAUUGAAGGCACUGUAAAAAUUUGUGGUGUAGGGCAUUUGGAGUCAGAGAGCCCAGAUUAAAAUUCUAUUUCUACUCACUUAAUACUCGUGUUUCCCAUCUUUGAGUCUCAUUCUUCUCAUCAAUAAAAUGAAGGUGAGAGAAUAAAUGAUCUCUCAGGUUCCUUCCAUCCAUUCUUUUUUUCCCCAAUGCUAAAAGCUGAAAAGCACUUGAUAGAUAUCCACUGAACUCAUUUUGCUUUCAAUCUUUUAAAAACACCAGGGGGUGCUAGUUCUAGGAGGAAAUGCAUGCAGCCAGGAUCAUUAGAUGCCUUGUCCUGGAAUCAGUAUCACAGAUUUAGGGAGGGAGAUAGAGAAAAGAGAGAAAUCAUCCAGUUCAUCCUCUCCAUCUUAAAGGUAUAGCAGGGACUGAUCAGGUGAAUCCCACAACCCACAUGAUGAAACCACAGGAUAUGAAUCAGGAUACUUGCCAGUCUUUCAAGGCUGACAUAAAGGAGGUCAGUCUCGGCCUCCCACAAGUCAUCCGUCAAUGCCCUUGUUGGGAGACAGAAUCCUGGCCUGGAGCGAGCAGGGGCCUGACCCAAGAGGAUAUAUCCAAUGUUAUUAUGCUCAUAUUGUGUUGAAUGCUCACCCAGAAAUUCAGCAUGGUCAGCAGAAUUCACUACAGCUCUGUACUGUGUUAAGCAUCCUGGCAAGAAGCCCCCUCGCUCUCUUGCCAGCCCCAUCCACCGAUUCCCAGAGGGGAGUAGACUAGCCAAGGCUUUCUUUCACCGCUCCAGGGUUCAAUGUCCACCAGGUUCCAGCCACAUGCUAGCCAUGGAAUGCCUGGUGCGUGAGAGCCAACAUGUGACCGCCAUUGGGCUGGGCCAUGACACUCUGAAAUGUUCUCUGGCAGGCCUCAAGCUUGGCCCUCAGGCAGCUGAAACUGAAACAGAGAGAGCCCGCUGAGGCUCUUGAUGAGUUUGGGAAAGGGCCAAAGGCUCCGCCAACAAUAGGUCGGUGUGAUCCGGCAGGAGCAGAGAGGGCUUCUUCAAGUCUGUCAGAGUGAUGAAGACUGAGACAAAGUGGGAACAGACUUGGGGAUGGCUUGUGCUAUGUACAUGUGGCUUCUCUGGGAGAGAGAGAUGACUAGAGCCGCAGCACAGAGAGACUGGUGUUCUGUGGGAAAGCUUUGGGAUUGGCAGUCAUUUUCCCAUUUGUUCUAUGUGCUUUUUAAACUGAGGGGAUGAAGAGGCUGCCAAAAAUUGCACAUGGGGCCAGCUGGGUGUGGAACUACCUUUGUUCAAAGACCUAGGAGUUCUGAAACAGCCCUGAAAAGCAACAACUGACCUAUUGCCUGGACUCUAUUAAAACCACAAUUUCACACGCAGUCUCUAAACCAAUAUAUAAAUGAUUGACUCAUGAACAUUAGUACUGAAAGGGAUAACUGAUAACUGAUAACUGAGUCCAGAUCGUGGUAUAGUAAAACAAAAUUUUUUUGGACUGGGAGUCGUAAGUCCUGGAUUCAGAUCUUGCUGCUAUUAUUUGUUAUCUGUGUGACACUAAAUCCCAGCUUCUUAAACUGUAGCUUGUGACCUUUCAUGGGGUCCCAUGAAUGUGGGAGUCAUGAAAUUAUGAUUUACUGAUUUGUAUAUACCAAGGUUACAUAAAAUUUCUUGGAUAAAAAGGGGUUAUGAGUAUAAAAAAUUUAAGGAGCAGUGGCCUAAGUCACUUAACUUUCCAGAGCUCAGCUUUCUCAUCUACAAGGUGGAUGUGUUGGACUGGAUGACCUUUGGAUCGACUAUUAUGUUUCUGAUGCUAUGUAGCAAUUUCCCAUUUCAUGGGUGAAAAAACUAAGGCCCAGAGAGGGAGAGGGAUACCCAGGUCCAUUGACUUUUGAUAGCUCUCAUGCUACUGUUGUUCUCCUAAAUUUAAUAGCUUGGCGGGAUUUCCAUUCAGACUCCUGACAACUCUGCCAAGAAAUAUGUACGCAGAGGAACACUACUAAUUCCUGAGAAGAAGGCCCUGACAGGGGCUGAAGGGUCGGCAUGUGGGCAAGUACCCACUGGAGGGACGUCUGGCUUAAGGAUUUGCUCCCCAAAUUCACAUCACAGUUACAUCCUGUGAACUAAAAAGAGCCACCGAGGCACCAAACUGUGUUUCAUAAAUAAUUCCUCUGAACGGCACUCAGGAACCAGCAUGUAACUUUGACCCUAGUCAGGGGACAUGGCCGACAUCAAAGAUGCAAUCGACUUCUUCUGGACAGGCAGGAAAGCCAUGGCGCCCAGUGCGGGAGGCUCCGACCUUUCUGAGGCUGUGUUCUUUUGAAUUAAGCUUUGUUGACAUCAACACCCAGAGGGGACAUCAUGAAAGGGAAGAAGCUGGUUGCCACUGGGGAGUGAGGUUACUAGGUACAGAUGCUAUAAUGAGUUGCCUGGGAAGAUUCCAAAUUUGAGAGCUGAAAGCUCACUGCUUUUCUUUGCUGGCACCAAGGCAGCAAUGCAAAUAAGAAGAUGGAGUAUUUCUCAGACUGGGCAGAGAAGGAAGGAACCUAUCAAUGAAUUUUUUUAACAUAUCAUAUAAACAAAUAAUAACAUUGUUAUUCUUGACAACAUACUGAUCUAUAACCUUAUUCAUGUAAAUAAUUUCUCUAGUGGUGCAGAUAACAGCCUGUAAUCACACUGUAAUUUGAGUGUGGAAUUAGCCCAUUCUGGAAGUGUAUCCCAAGUAGCACCAACCUCCCAUUCUCCCCAGACUAACUCUCCCUUUUCCUGACCUGGAACUGACUUGUCCAUUCUAUUUGUUAGCACUUCUGAUAGGUCAGAGUGGCUCCCCAGGAAAGUGACCAUGGCCAAUAGCAGUAGUAUAUUCUCAAAGCCCCUGCCCCCCAAUAUAUAUACAGCAAGGGUAGCCCUAGGAUGCUGAGAGAUUGUUUCCUUUUCAUUUACAUAAAAUCAAUCAGUCAUGGAAUUGUUGACUCUUAAACUUGAAACAUUUACUAAAUGAUAAAGAAAAAGCAAGAAUAAUGAUAGUAUUACAUAGUAGAAAAUGAGUAGGAAUAAUUAUUAUAUUUGCUCAAUAGAUAACUCAAGUAGAAAUUAAAAAAAUAUAUCUCUAUUCACCCAUAAAUCUGGAUCAAGCUCUCCUACCAAUAAACACAGUAUUUGUGGAAGAAGGUGGGCAUUCAUAGAAAACUAGCAGGGAGGCAUAUGAGGAGAAAGACCCCUCUCUUUGAGGGAAACCAUUGCUCUGGACAACCAGCUUUAAUGCCCUGAAUCUCUUUACGGAACAACUUGCAUAUAUUGGCAAGGCCAGCGCCUCUGCUAUUUGUGUUGCUUCUGGUUUUAAGAGCAGAUUCCCUAAUGAACAAAAGCACUUCUCUUCUAUUGUUAGAUCACUGAACCAUUUUUUUUAAAAGGACACAGCCACCAUUGGAAGGGUGCUGAGAAAGUGUUACACUCUUUUAGUGGCGAUCAGUUUUUUUUUUUUUAAGUUGGAAAACUGCCACAGUCUCUUAGGUCUGCUCUGGUAUUCUGAAGAGUAUGGCUCCCCCCACCCCCAAUUAACAGCCCUCAAAAAGCAGGGCAUUCUGUUUUAUUCAAUCAGUUCUCAGCAAAGUCAAACUUCUUCUCAUAGUACAGCAGAUACAUUUCUUUGCUAUUUUGUUUCUUCCUUUCAAGCCAGAAAGGAAGUAAAGGGUAACAAAAGUACCUCUGUGAAGCUUCCUUUGCCUCACAUUGUCGAUAGCACUAAAGGCAGCGAGUAAGUUCAGACAGCUUGUCACAGCUGCAGAAUUCACUUCUAAUUAGAGUCUAACAGUUACAGAGCCUGCUGAGUUAUGAUCAGUUCUCUCAGCUGACUUAGUUUUUUCCCAUCCAAUUAGCUCUCAGCAAAGCUAUGCCCCUGUUCCAAUCAGCACAGUUCCCAAGAAAACAGCUACAAAGCCUUCCUGCGUUCCUUUGCUCUGUCUUCAAUUUUUUGUUAUUUUGGGGGGGACUGGCCAACUGAGGCCCUGUUCUUUGCACAUACUGCAGUAUUGUGCCUGCUAUAUAGUCAUGUAGAGCCUUAGGGAGUCUGUUUCUGGAAAUGUGCAUAAAUGAUGUAUAAUGGAAAGACUCUGUUCUCUGCCUGAGACCAUGUGUGGGUAUUCUAUGACUGUCCACUCACUAAGUGGUAAAGAAACACUUAUUUAAUCAGUUAUAGACAAGGCCAAAUGUGCAUGUGAAAGACACGAAAUGGUCAAAUUGCUCUCCUUCUUUGUGGUGACCAAGGCUAGGACUGCUGAAGAAAA
Sarcophilus harrisii (Tasmanian devil) is the source of this 4283-nucleotide long non-coding RNA. The record is from Ensembl. NCBI's taxonomy places the organism in Eukaryota, Metazoa, Chordata, Mammalia, Dasyuromorphia, Dasyuridae.